ACGAACGCUGGCGGCAUGCCUAACACAUGCAAGUCGAACGAGACCUUCGGGUCUAGUGGCGCACGGGUGCGUAACGCGUGGGAACCUGCCCUUAGGUUCGGAAUAACUCCCCGAAAGGGGUGCUAAUACCGGAUAAUGUCUUCGGACCAAAGAUUUAUCGCCUUUGGAUGGGCCCGCGUUGGAUUAGCUAGUUGGUAGGGUAAAAGCCUACCAAGGCGACGAUCCAUAGCUGGUCUGAGAGGAUGAUCAGCCACACUGGGACUGAGACACGGCCCAGACUCCUACGGGAGGCAGCAGUGGGGAAUAUUGGACAAUGGGCGAAAGCCUGAUCCAGCAAUGCCGCGUGAGUGAUGAAGGCCUUAGGGUUGUAAAGCUCUUUUACCCGGGAUGAUAAUGACAGUACCGGGAGAAGAAGCUCCGGCUAACUCCGU
This 431-nucleotide ribosomal RNA is filed under the name uncultured bacterium. RNAcentral's name for it is "partial 16S ribosomal RNA". It matches the Rfam family "Bacterial small subunit ribosomal RNA", at positions 29 to 506 of the family's 1533-position model. The record is from RNAcentral.